AUACGGAGGGGGUUGGCGUUGUUCGGAAUUACUGGGCGUAAAGCGCACGUAGGCGGACUGGAAAGUUGGGGGUGAAAUCCCGGGGCUCAACCCCGGAACUGCCUCCAAAACUUCCAAUCUAGAGAUCGAGAGAGGUGAGUGGAAUUCCAAGUGUAGAAGUGAAAUUCGUAGAUAUUUGGAGGAACACCAGUGGCGAAGGCGGCUCACUGGCUCGAUACUGACGCUGAGGUGCGAAAGCGUGGGGAGCAAACAGGAUUAGAAACCCCAGUAGUCC
RNAcentral lists this ribosomal RNA (274 nucleotides) under uncultured bacterium. RNAcentral's name for it is "partial 16S ribosomal RNA". It matches the Rfam family "Bacterial small subunit ribosomal RNA", at positions 523 to 796 of the family's 1533-position model. The record is from RNAcentral.